GCCAGGCAUGGUGGCGCAUGCCUGUAAUCCCAGCUACUUGGGAGGCUAAGACAGGAGAAUUGCUUGAACCUGGGAGGCAGAGGUUGCAGUGAGCCGAGAUCACACCACUGCACUCCAGCCUGGGCAACAGAGCAAGACUCUGUCUCAA
This 148-nucleotide non-coding RNA is filed under the name Nomascus leucogenys (northern white-cheeked gibbon). The record is from Rfam by way of RNAcentral. Lineage: Eukaryota; Metazoa; Chordata; Mammalia; Primates; Hylobatidae.